AGUGAACGCUGGCGGUAGGCCUAACACAUGCAGGUCGAACGGCAGCACAGUAAGAGCUUGCUCUUACGGGUGGCGAGUGGCGGACGGGUGAGGAAUACAUCGGAAUCUACUUUUUCGUGGGGGAUAACGUAGGGAAACUUACGCUAAUACCGCAUGCGACCUACGGGUGAAAGCAGGGGAUCUUCGGACCUUGCGCGAUUGAAUGAGCCGAUGUCGGAUUAGCUAGUUGGCGGGGUAAAGGCCCACCAAGGCGACGAUCCGUAGCUGGUCUGAGAGGAUGAUCAGCCACACUGGAACUGAGACACGGUCCAGACUCCUACGGGAGGCAGCAGUGGGGAAUAUUGGACAAUGGGCGCAAGCCUGAUCCAGCCAUACCGCGUGGGUGAAGAAGGCCUUCGGGUUGUAAAGCCCUUUUGUUGGGAAAGAAAAGCAGCAGGUUAAUACCCCGCUGUUCUGACGGUACCCAAAGAAUAAGCACCGGCUAACUUCGUG
Molecule: ribosomal RNA, 492 nt
Filed under: uncultured bacterium
Lineage: Bacteria
Description: partial 16S ribosomal RNA
Rfam family: Bacterial small subunit ribosomal RNA
Source: RNAcentral